Molecule: long non-coding RNA, 161 nt
Filed under: Dasypus novemcinctus (nine-banded armadillo)
Lineage: Eukaryota; Metazoa; Chordata; Mammalia; Cingulata; Dasypodidae
Description: lncRNA (ENSDNOG00000050776.1)
Source: RNAcentral
UAUGGAGCCAAGGAGAAGAGGAACAAACAGAAAGAGGAAGCAGCAGAGAGAAUGAGAGAGAGGCCUCUGACCUUGAACUGUGAGGUCUCACAGACCCCCACACCCACAAGACCCUCUUGCCCUGUAGCGUCGACAGGGAGGUGGUAAACAGCACAGCAUCU